UGCCUACUUAUCUGAAAAAGACUAUCAUGUGGUACAUACUUUUGUAUUGUUGAAUUGCGAAGAAGUACUACCUUUUGAAAGGAUUUUUGAUGAACAAGUAUACAACAUGUAUGGUGACGUAAAUGACGAGGAAUUGACCAAAAUUAAAGAAAAAGGGUUUGCUACAUGGUUAAAAGAAUAUAUUCGAACGUCACCAGAAGAUCAUCCAUUGUGGUUGCAUGAGCUAGUUCAAGGGCCCAUUUGUCGUGUUACAUGUUGGCCUAUAUUUUUUACCAGAGGCUACGUUUUCCACACACAUGAACACGGACAACAUCGUUCGACACAUAAUUUUGGUGUUUCUGUGAAAGGGUCAGAGUACUGUGCAUCUGAUAACGAACCCGAUUUUUACGGACUACUGCAGCAGAUUUUUGAACUCCAAUAUGCAGGUCAUUUUGGACUCAAAGUGAUGAUGUUCAGGUGUGAUUGGUUUGAUCCUACACCCAUGCGAGGGAUCAGAGUCAACAAAACAGGUGUUUUUGACAUAUGUUACACACGUCGAUACGGAAAAUAUGAUCCUUUUAUAUUGGCUUCUCAAGCAGAUCAAGUGUGUUACAUCCCUUAUCCGAAGAAAAUUACAAGAAGGUCAGACAUUGAUUGGCGAGCCGUCGUGAAGAUCAACCCCAGGGGAACUAUUAUUC
This is a long non-coding RNA of Tarenaya hassleriana, 677 nucleotides long. RefSeq lists it as uncharacterized. The transcript has 3 exons. The record is from RefSeq and is a predicted model, not a curated record. Lineage: Eukaryota; Viridiplantae; Streptophyta; Magnoliopsida; Brassicales; Cleomaceae.